RNAcentral lists this long non-coding RNA (635 nucleotides) under Phasianus colchicus (ring-necked pheasant). RNAcentral describes it as "lncRNA (ENSPCLG00000016733.1)". Lineage: Eukaryota; Metazoa; Chordata; Aves; Galliformes; Phasianidae. The record is from RNAcentral.
GGAUGAGCGGAUCAAAGGUAACGUCUGUUUUGGAGAAAUGCUAGCAUCUCUGGAGGAGCUGGGUGCUGGGGCAGGGACAGCACUGCCAGGAUGCUGGGGGCCCGCUCCUCAUGUGCAGUAAACUCUGCUUCUCCCACAGAUCUGCAAGCCCAGAACGAGAAGGCUGAGCAGGAGAGGGAGGCUGAGAGGGAGAGGGAGGUGGAAAGACUGCAGGAGAUGGAGGACUGGAUUUGUGGAUAUGAGCACGCUGAGCAGGAGUGGGAGGCUGAGAGGGAAAGGGCGGCAGAAGAACUGCAGAGGAUGGAGAACCGGGCUCGCUGCUCUGAAGAGGAAGUGCUUCGGCUGAGAAAGAAACUGACUGAAGAGAAGAAAUAUUAUUACAAGGAAGAAAUGGGAUCUUCUGUAACUGCUGGUGAAUUGAGCAAAUUUCUGAUCAUCUACUCGAGGAAUUGCUGUUCAUCUGUUCAUGGAAUCGCACUCCUUCCUUUGCUCAGGGACUGUGCAACAAUAGCUUUGAAAAGAGUGACCUUCGUGUUUCUGUACACUUUGCAUUUCUUUAGAGUUGUGCUUUGCUUCUGAAAAUGCUAGGUUAAAAAGAAAAUAAAAAAGAUGUCAAGCAUGAACUGGUGUCUAAA